This 498-nucleotide ribosomal RNA is filed under the name uncultured bacterium. Its description in RNAcentral is "partial 16S ribosomal RNA". It matches the Rfam family "Bacterial small subunit ribosomal RNA", at positions 28 to 507 of the family's 1533-position model. The record is from RNAcentral.
GACGAACGCUGGCGGCGUGCCUAAUACAUGCAAGUCGAACGAGAGCAACCGGUGCUUGCACUGGUCAAUCUAGUGGCGAACGGGUGAGUAACACGUGGGUAACCUGCCCAUCAGAGGUGGAUAACAUCCGGAAACGGAUGCUAAAACCACAUAUGUCUUCGAACCGCAUGGUUUGGAGAGGAAAAGAUGCUCAAGCUUCUGCUGAUGGAUUGACCCGCGGUUCAUUAGCUAGUUGGUGAGGUAACGGCUCACCAAUGCCGUGAUGCAUAGCCGAACUGAGAGGGUGAUCGGCAACAUUGGGACUGAGACACGGACAAAACUACUAAGGGAGGCAGCAGUAGGGAAUCUUCCGCAAUGGACGCAAGUCUGACGGAGCAACGCCGAGUGAGUGAAGAAGGUUUUCGGAUCGUAAAACUCUGUUGUUAGAGAAGAACAAGUGCUAGAGUAACUGUUAGCGCCUUGACGGUAUCUAAACAGAAAGCCACGGCUAACUACGUG